CAGUCGCCGCGGUAAUACGAAGGGGGCUAGCGUUGUUCGGAUUUACUGGGCGUAAAGCGCACGUAGGCGGAUCGAUCAGUCAGGGGUGAAAUCCCAGAGCUCAACUCUGGAACUGCCUUUGAUACUGUCGAUCUGGAGUAUGGAGGAGGUGAGUGGAAUUCCGAGUGUAGAGGUGAAAUUCGUAGAUAUUCGGAGGAACACCAGUGGCGAAGGCGGCUCACUGGUCCAUUACUGACGCUGAGGUGCGAAAGCGUGGGGAGCAAACAGGAUUAGAUACCCCUGUAGUCCCUGUCUCUUAUAC
RNAcentral lists this ribosomal RNA (301 nucleotides) under uncultured bacterium. RNAcentral describes it as "partial 16S ribosomal RNA". It matches the Rfam family "Bacterial small subunit ribosomal RNA", at positions 509 to 807 of the family's 1533-position model. The record is from RNAcentral.